UCUUUUUCUUCUUCUUCUUCUUAUGCCUGCUGCUACUACACAUGUGCAUAUCUUUUUAUCUUUCUUCCUUCCUUUCUUCUUUUCAUUCUCGCCGGAACCUCUAUUUUGGCAACCAAAAUCACAUCCCCUAGUGAUUUGGAAUGCAAAUGUCCCACAAUUUGGAAUGCACGAAACAAGUUGCGAUUCCUGAGGGGUGAGCAAUCUGGUAACUAUAGACAAUACUUGUGAACAAAAUGGCGCACUUUGAAUUUGAACAUUGUUAAGACAUGCACCAUAAAUAGCUAAGAUAUGUGUAUCUGUAAUGAUUGUGUGAAUAUAUUUAGGUGUU
This 328-nucleotide unclassified non-coding RNA is filed under the name Hevea brasiliensis (rubber tree). The record is from RNAcentral. Lineage: Eukaryota; Viridiplantae; Streptophyta; Magnoliopsida; Malpighiales; Euphorbiaceae.